Molecule: ribosomal RNA, 303 nt
Filed under: uncultured bacterium
Lineage: Bacteria
Description: bacterial SSU rRNA
Rfam family: Bacterial small subunit ribosomal RNA
Source: RNAcentral
AACGAACGCUGGCGGCAUGCCUAACACAUGCAAGUCGAACGAGACCUUCGGGUCUAGUGGCGCACGGGUGCGUAACGCGUGGGAACCUGCCUUUAGGUUCGGAAUAAACUCAGAGAAAUUUGAGCUAAUACCGGAUAAUGUCUUCGGACCAAAGAUUUAUCGCCUUUAGAUGGGCCCGCGUUGGAUUAGCUAGUUGGUGGGGUAAAGGCCUACCAAGGCGACGAUCCAUAGCUGGUCUGAGAGGAUGAUCAGCCACACUGGGACUGAGACACGGCCCAGACUCCUACGGGAGGCAGCAGUGGG